CUACCAUGCAGUCUCUUGAUCCUUCGGGUGAAGGUGGCGGACGGGUGAGUAACGCGUAAAGNUCUUGCCUUACAGACUGGGACAACAUUUGGAAACGAAUGCUAAUACCGGAUAUUAUGACUGAGUCGCAUGAUUUGGUUAUGAAAGCUAUAUGCGCUGUGAGAGAGCUUUGCGUCCCAUUAGUUAGUUGGUGAGGUAACGGCUCACCAAGACGAUGAUGGGUAGCCGGCCUGAGAGGGUGAACGGCCACAAGGGGACUGAGACACGGCCCUUACUCCUACGGGAGGCAGCAGUGGGGAAUAUUGGACAAUGAACCAAAAGUCUGAUCCAGCAAUUCUGUGUGCACGAUGAAGUUUUUCGGAAUGUAAAGUGCNUUUCAGUUGGGAAGAAGUCAGUGACGGUACCAACAGAAGAAGCGACGGCUAAAUACGUGCCAGCAGCCGCGGUAAUACGUAUGUCGCAAGCGUUAUCCGGAUUUAUUGGGCGUAAAGCGCGUCUAGGCGGUUUAGUAAGUCUGAUGUGAAAAUGCGGGGCUCAACCCCGUAUUGCGUUGGAAACUGCUAAACUAGAGUACUGGAGAGGUAGGCGGAACUACAAGUGUAGAGGUGAAAUUCGUAGAUAUUUGUAGGAAUGCCGAUGGGGAAGCCAGCCUACUGGACAGAUACUGACGCUAAAGCGCGAAAGCGUGGGUAGCAAACAGGAUUAGAUACCCUGGUAGUCCACGCCGUAAACGAUGAUUACUAGGUGUUGGGGGUCGAACCUCAGCGCCCAAGCUAACGCGAUAAGUAAUCCGCCUGGGGAGUACGUACGCAAGUAUGAAACUCAAAGGAAUUGACGGGGACCCGCACAAGCGGUGGAGCAUGUGGUUUAAUUCGACGCAACGCGAGGAACCUUACCAGCGUUUGACAUCCCAAGAAGUUAACAGAGAUGUUUUUCGUGCCUCUUCGGAGGAACUUGGUGACAGGUGGUGCAUGGCUGUCGUCAGCUCGUGUCGUGAGAUGUUGGGUUAAGUCCCCCAACGAGCGCAACCCCUUUCGUAUGUUACCAUCAUUAAGUUGGGGACUCAUGCGAGACUGCCUGCGAUGAGCAGGAGGAAGGUGGGGAUGACGUCAAGUCAUCAUGCCCCUUAUACGCUGGGCUACACACGUGCUACAAUGGGUAGUACAGAGAGCUGCAAACCUGCGAGGGUAAGCUAAUCUCAUAAAACUAUUCUUAGUUCGGAUUGUACUCUGCAACUCGAGUACAUGAAGUUGGAAUCGCUAGUAAUCGCAAAUCAGCUAUGUUGCGGUGAAUACGUUCUCGGGUCUUGUACACACCGCCCGUCACACCACGAGAGUUGGUUGCACCCCUGAAGUAANCAGGCCUAACCCGUAAGGAGGGGAUGUUCCGAGGGU
This 1394-nucleotide ribosomal RNA is filed under the name bacterium NLAE-zl-G487. RNAcentral's name for it is "bacterial SSU rRNA". It matches the Rfam family "Bacterial small subunit ribosomal RNA". The record is from RNAcentral.